RNAcentral lists this ribosomal RNA (454 nucleotides) under uncultured bacterium. RNAcentral's name for it is "partial 16S ribosomal RNA". It matches the Rfam family "Bacterial small subunit ribosomal RNA", at positions 341 to 792 of the family's 1533-position model. The record is from RNAcentral.
ACGGAAGGCAGCAGUGAGGAAUAUUGGUCAAUGGGCGAGAGCCUGAACCAGCCAAGUAGCGUGCAGGAUGACGGCCCUAUGGGUUGUAAAGUGCUUUUGUGCGGGAAUAACGUGCUCCACGUGUGGGGCAGUGCAUGUACCGUACGAAUAAGGAUCGGCUAACUCCGUGCCAGCAGCCGCGGUAAUACGGAGGAUCCGAGCGUUAUCCGGAUUUAUUGGGUUUAAAGGGAGCGUAGGCGGAAGGUCAAGUCAGCUGUGAAAUGUAGUCGCUCAACGUCUGCACUGCAGUUGAAACUGGCCUCCUUGAGUGCGUAAGAGGCAGGCGGAAUUCGUCGUGUAGCGGUGAAAUGCUUAGAUAUGACGAAGAACUCCGAUUGCGAAGGCAGCUUGCUGGGCCGCAACUGACGCUGAAGCUCGAAGGUGCGGGUAUCGAACAGGAUUAGAUACCCUGGUA